AUAACCGGAGUAGCCCUUUAAACACCCGUAACCGUAAUUUAAAUAACCAUAAUGGUUUUCUUUUUGUCGUUGUGCAGUCAUGAAGUUGGCGUUAAUAGUGGCCAUAUUUCCGAUAGUCUUGAAUGCAGCAUUAGUGGCGCGUGUACCUCGACCAUGGCCUCGACAACUAUAGUUGAGUGGUUUUAAAGAUUUAAGUUGACAAAGUUUGCUUUUCGGUAAAUCAUUUCCUAAUGGGAAAGCUACUGUUAAUCCCGUUGGUAAUAUCAUCGCUGUUGGGAUUUCUUUUUUCCGUUAAAGUAGGAAAAGUUAUGUUGUGUGUUGAAACAAUACAGGGCAAUGCCUCUCGCCUCCAGGAAACCGGCCAAAAAUCACCUGCCCAACUGUGUACAUGGCUCGGAAACACCCAAAUAAUGGCUCGGAAGGUUACAACAGUCGUUGGGGAAGGACUCGCCUCUAUCAGCACUGGUCUGAAGUAUCCUGGGCUACCAGUCUCCGUUGUGGCAGGAAAACUCUUCUCUGUUCAUUUUCACUACAUCUGAUUGAAUGAUGACGAGAUGUACAUCUUUGUUGUCAACCGUCCUCAGCAAAAAAGCCAAAUAGAGGUCUUUCGAUCUGUUGAGGACGAUCACUCCCUGGUGCAUCUGAACACAAUAAAGCAUGAACUUCCCUACAGGUGCAGUAUGGUGACAACACACUCUGUUAUAAAUAUAUAUAAAUGAUAUUGUUGCAGUGGGCGGGGAUAGCUUCUAUGCGACCAACACUCACUAUUUUACCCACAAGAUCCUUAAAGCUCUGGUGGAGCCUCUCCUGUCUCAGCCUUGGUCUAAUGUUGUGUACUACAGUCCCAAGGAUGUAAAAAUAGUCUCCAAAGGUUACUACAUGGCCAAUGGCAUCAAUAUGUCUCCAGAUAAAAGACAUAUACUGUAUAUGUGGCAGAUCUGUUUGAACACAAUGUGCAUGUGUAGCAUAAAGAAGACAAUACAUUUGGCCCCUGUGAAGGUAAAUAUUAUAACUAUAAUUAUAAUUAAACAUAAUUAUAGUAAUGUUUUUAUAGUAUCAGUGUAAGAAUUAUUUCUCCAUUAAUGAAACAAAAAUUGUUCAUGAUACAAAGAUUAAAGAUAUUACUCUUUAGGAGUUUUUCUCUAUUUUUAAGUGAAUUCAUGUGGACCCUUUGGAAUUU
Molecule: long non-coding RNA, 1180 nt
Organism: Solea senegalensis (Senegalese sole)
Lineage: Eukaryota; Metazoa; Chordata; Actinopteri; Pleuronectiformes; Soleidae
Exons: 5
Source: RefSeq, a predicted model, not a curated record